AACGAACGCUGGCGGCAGGCUUAACACAUGCAAGUCGAGCGCCAGCAAUGGGAGCGGCGGACGGGUGAGUAACACGUGGGAACAUGCCCUUCGGUACGGAAUAACUCAGGGAAACUUGUGCUAAUACCGUAUGCGCCCUAACGGGGAAAGAUUUAUCGCCGAAGGAUUGGCCCGCGUCUGAUUAGCUUGUUGGUGGGUAAAGGCCUACCAAGCCUGCGAUCAGUAGCUGGUCUGAGAGGAUGAUCAGCCACACUGGGACUGAGACACGGCCCAGACUCCUACGGGAGGCAGCAGUGGGGAAUAUUGCGCAAUGGGGGAAACCCUGACGCAGCAACGCCGCGUGGAGGAUGAAGUCUCUUGGGACGUAAACUCCUUUCGAUCGGGACGAUUAUGACGGUACCGGAAGAAGAAGCCCCGGCUAACUUCGUG
RNAcentral lists this ribosomal RNA (429 nucleotides) under uncultured bacterium. Its description in RNAcentral is "bacterial SSU rRNA". It matches the Rfam family "Bacterial small subunit ribosomal RNA", at positions 29 to 507 of the family's 1533-position model. The record is from RNAcentral.